CCACAGUCUGUAAAGCCUGAUGAAAUCAGCCGGAAGGAUUACCCAGGGAUGAAACGAGGUUAUUAUAAAAUAUCUGCUGGAGCCACCACGCAGAUCUUGUGAGCUCGGAAGCCAGUGUUCCGUGUCAUCAUGGGCUCCCUUUGGUCACCCUGUGAAGUGACUCAGAUGAGAUGCCUGUCUUCGAGGCCUCGGCUGCUUCCUUUUCUCCUUCCUGAUGUCCGCAUUAGGUGUUCCCACAGCAUGCUGUGCACACCUUAUCCAAGCUCUGAAUGUACUCUUGUCUGAUGAGUGCCUUAAAGGGUAAGAACUGAAACUCUGUGUCCCAACUACCCAGAACCAGGUUCGUAGUAAAAUUUAAUAAAGGCACAGUAGAAUGAGAAAUUCAUAAUUGUUUAAUAUCAUUAGUUUUAAAUUUUGAAGAUUAAUAGGGAUCAUGCAGGGGAAAUGUAGACACUGUAAUUAAUGAAUUUCAAACAUUAAGUAUACGCUGGGAGACAAUUUUUUAAUGAUCAUCUCUGGACUACUGUGGCGGUUAAUUUAAUGAGUCAACUGGACUAGUCCGUAGUACCUAGUUUUUUUGUCAAACAGCAGUGGAGGUGUUGCAGUGAGGAUUUUUUAAGAUGUACUAGACUUUGGGUACAGCAGAUUACCCUCCGAAAUGCAGGUGGGCCUCACCUAAUCCGUUGACAGACUCAAGAGAAGACUGAGGUCCCUGGAGGAGGAGGGAAUUCUGCCUCUGGAAUGCCUUCAGACCCCAGCUGCCACAUCAUCUCUUCCCUAGGUCUGCAGCGUUUUGGCCUGCCCCGCAGAUUUUAGACUUGUCAGUCCCACGAUUACAGAAGUCAAUUCCUUAAAAUAAGUCUUUAUAUAUGCAUUCUUUGGGUUCUCUUUCUGUGGAGCGCUCUGACCAAUAGAACUAUUUCUUCAAGGAUAUUUGUAAAGGAAACAGCUUUGGAAGAAUGAGAUGACCGUCUCCCUCCAAUGCCAAAGCCAGAUUUGUUGCUGUCAAGUAUAUUGAAGAUUUAAUGUCGCCCUCUGAGGCAAAGCCUGGACACUUUGGCCUGAAGUCCACGAUGAAAGACUGAAGUUUCCUAAGCUCAGGCUUCCUCAGCAGUGAUACAAACCCAUCGCAUGUGCAGCACCCACCCGCCUGGACUACCAUCACGGGACUUGGGAGGCGAGGAGAACUGAAGGGAUACGAAGCUCAGGCUGCUUGCUGUGCUGUGAACAAUCAAAGUCCUCUGUCUCUGAUCCCAGUACUUUCUGCCAGCACUUAGGAAGCUGUGUUAGCUUGUUAGCCUGGAAAGAGGGUAAACUCUUACACAAUUUUUCAUCAAGCUGCAAUGUUUAGCUUAAAGCAUAUGUUUAUUAUAUAUUUGUUGAAUUAAUUAGUGAACACUGUAUAACCCUUUGCUCAAGUUGUUGUAUAUAAGACAAUUUUUGUUAUCUCUUUAGGUCUCCAGGCUAUACAUUUCUAGCCUUCCCACACACACACACACACAAAACCUACUGGAAACAAAUUCAAGUUCCUUUAUAUUUGGCUGCUCUUAAGCAUGAUACAGUUACUUACCCAGAGAGUGGUCAAUCAUCUCGUUCAUUUUAAAUAUUGUAACGCAGCUACUACUUAUUGCACAUACACCUAUAUUGCCAGACAAAAUGUUAGGGUCACAUAGCUUGUAUAUCUCAAAGCUCCAGAGGACAGAGAUUUUGUCUUUUUUGUUGUAGACUAUACCCCAGUGCCCAGGGAAGUGCCUGAAAGUAGUUGGCUGUCAAUAAUAUUCAUUGAAUAAAUUUCCAGGGCUUGUAAUGAAUCACAUGUAGAGGCAGGGGUGAAUGAGAACAACAAGCAUGAAUCUUAUGUUCGGCAUAAGCAACAGGGGAAAAGCCAAUGCCACUUAUUAAUGUGGAGAACACUAGGGGAGAAGCAAAUUUGAGAAAGGAAAUUAAUUUUGAACAUGAACAUGUUGAGUUUCAGAUAUCUGUAAAAUGUGCAAAUAGAGGUGUUUGAGUGGGCAAGUGUAUAUAUAGACAUAAAGCUCAGAGAAGAGAUUCCAUCUGGAGGUAUACAUGUGGUAUUCACAGCCUCCCAAAAUUGAUGGAUUUGAAGCCUGGGAGUGGGUGAGGUUGUUACUGGGGAGGAGCAUGUGGAGGGACAAGAAAAGAGAGCCUAGAACUUAGACUUAGAAACUUACAAUUUAAUGGUUUUAUAGAAAAGGAUCCCCUAAUGAUUCUCAUUAGUGGCCUGACACAUUGAAGCAAAACCAGGAAAAUGAAAGCAAGAGAAGCUAAGAAAGAAACUGAGUCAAAAAGAAGGGAUGGACAGUGAUGUUCCAUGUUGAUAAGAGAUCAAGCAAGUUGUAUCUGGCAGUAUGAAGGUCACUGUUGACGUAGCAAGAGCCCUUUCAGCGAAUGGUGGUAUAGAAGACUGGGCCAAAUUUAAUGGUAACUGGUGGUAAAGUAGUGACUGGUUAUUGAAACUGAGGAAGCCUGACUGUGAAUGGGAAGAGAGAGGUAAGGCAGCACUGGACGGCAAGGGGUUUGGGAGUCCAAGUAGAGUUUUUGUUGGUUUGUUUUUUUAAAAUGGAAGAUACCUGGGGCACCUGGGUGGCUCAGUCGGUUGAGCGUCCAACUUCGGCUCAGGUCAUGAUCUCAUGGCUUGUGAGUUCAAGCCCUG
RNAcentral lists this long non-coding RNA (2674 nucleotides) under Lynx pardinus (Iberian lynx). The record is from RNAcentral. Lineage: Eukaryota; Metazoa; Chordata; Mammalia; Carnivora; Felidae.